RNAcentral lists this ribosomal RNA (428 nucleotides) under Gemmatimonadota bacterium. Its description in RNAcentral is "Gemmatimonadetes bacterium partial 16S ribosomal RNA". It matches the Rfam family "Bacterial small subunit ribosomal RNA", at positions 355 to 776 of the family's 1533-position model. Lineage: Bacteria; Pseudomonadati; Gemmatimonadota. The record is from RNAcentral.
UAGGGAAUCUUCGGCAAUGGACGAAAGUCUGACCGAGCAACGCCGCGUGAGUGAAGAAGGUUUUCGGAUCGUAAAACUCUGUUGUUAGAGAAGAACAAGGACGUUAGUAACUGAACGUCCCCUGACGGUAUCUAACCAGAAAGCCACGGCUAACUACGUGCCAGCAGCCGCGGUAAUACGUAGGUGCAAGCGUUGUCCGGAUUUAUUGGGCGUAAAGCGAGCGCAGGCGGUUUCUUAAGUCUGAUGUGAAAGCCCCCGGCUCAACCGGGGAGGGUCAUUGGAAACUGGGAGACUUGAGUGCAGAAGAGGAGAGUGGAAUUCCAUGUGUAGCGGUGAAAUGCGUAGAUAUAUGGAGGAACACCAGUGGCGAAGGCGGCUCUCUGGUCUGUAACUGACGCUGAGGCUCGAAAGCGUGGGGAGCAAACAGG